UACAGGGAGGACCCCUCUUGUAAUGAGGUC
Molecule: non-coding RNA, 30 nt
Filed under: Homo sapiens (human)
Lineage: Eukaryota; Metazoa; Chordata; Mammalia; Primates; Hominidae
Source: RNAcentral